This 494-nucleotide ribosomal RNA is filed under the name uncultured bacterium. Its description in RNAcentral is "bacterial SSU rRNA". It matches the Rfam family "Bacterial small subunit ribosomal RNA", at positions 21 to 507 of the family's 1533-position model. The record is from RNAcentral.
GGCUCAGAUUGAACGCUGGCGGCAUGCCUUACACAUGCAAGUCGAACGGCAGCACGGGUGCUUGCACCUGGUGGCGAGUGGCGAACGGGUGAGUAAUACAUCGGAACGUACCCUUAUCGUGGGGGGAUAACGCAGCGAAAGCUGUGCUAAUACCGCAUACGCCCUGAGGGGGAAAGCGGGGGAUCGAAAGACCUCGCGCGAUUAGAGCGGCCGAUGCCUGAUUAGCUUGUUGGUGGGGUAAAAGCCCACCAAGGCGACGAUCAGUAGCUGGUCUGAGAGGACGAUCAGCCACACUGGGACUGAGACACGGCCCAGACUCCUACGGGAGGCAGCAGUGGGGAAUUUUGGACAAUGGGGGAAACCCUGAUCCAGCAAUGCCGCGUGAGUGAAGAAGGCCUUCGGGUUGUAAAGCUCUUUUGUCAGGGAAGAAACACCGGCUCUAACACAGUCCGGGAAUGACGGUACCUGAAGAAUAAGCACCGGCUAACUACGUG